UAUACCUAAUUUUAGGAGUAAUCUAAUUUUAUUAAGCAGAUUAGAUUCAAACAGCUAUAGGUAGAGAGUUGAUGAUAGAAUCCUGAAGGUUUUGCAUGGCAGUAGGGUUGUGUUGAAGAAAAAGAGGUAUGGAGGAUAUUAUCUCCUGGUAGAGAGCUUAGCACGAGGUGGAGCUUCAGGAGUUAGUGGGAGCUUAGAGCAAGAUGGAGCUCCAAGAACAGAUAGAUUGGGCAUAUGACAGGAGACUCAGAAGGAUGACAGGUGACAUCGUAGGAUGAAGUUUUUAUUACCGCAGGAGACUAUCCCGAGCAGAUCUCAUAUCAGAUAGGUCACAACAUAUGAUAGAGAUGAGAUUGGGUGGCUUGGCUCGACUCUCAUAUUUAUCCAUUCAUGAUCAGUCAAAUAUUUGCCCCAGAACAUGGGGGCGAGAUCAUCUCCAAGCUCUC
RNAcentral lists this long non-coding RNA (446 nucleotides) under Elaeis guineensis (African oil palm). RNAcentral describes it as "long non-coding RNA (EGUI_LNC014821)". The record is from RNAcentral. Lineage: Eukaryota; Viridiplantae; Streptophyta; Magnoliopsida; Arecales; Arecaceae.